AAAAAAAAAAAAAAAAAUAAUAUCGUGCAUGCCCUUAUGAUGAGAAAUUCAAUUAAGGCAUAGAUAUAUUAAAAAAUAAAAUCUUUGGUUGCACACGUGAUUAGAAACCACUUAAAGAAAAAAUUUUUGGAAAGAAGAUUUAAGAAAUCCUUUUGAGGAUCUUAAGAGAUAAUCUCACUACAUAACAUCCCUGAUAUAUUCCCCCGUUCUUUCAAUUGAAAUAGUUUAUUAUCUUUCCAGCAAGGAAAAAAGAAACUACUCCCACAUUUAAAUUCUAUGGAUAUGUGGAAACAUAAAUUGUACCAAUUAUAGUGAUUUCUCAGCAUCCAAACAGCAGGUAGCAUUCAAGCCACCAUCAUAU
RNAcentral lists this unclassified non-coding RNA (361 nucleotides) under Hevea brasiliensis (rubber tree). The record is from RNAcentral. Lineage: Eukaryota; Viridiplantae; Streptophyta; Magnoliopsida; Malpighiales; Euphorbiaceae.